CUCUCCUCCUGCCGUUAGGUUGGCUCCUCCCUGAGGACGGAGGGCUGCCGUGCGAGUGCCUGAGAGCGGCGGCGGGAGUUAGGGGCUCGACAACUUGCCGGAGGCUGGGCCUCAGGAGCCAGCGAAAGAAUAAUAAUAAAAAAUGGCUGACAACCUGGACCAAUUCAUUGAAGACCAGAAAGCCAAGUUGGCCCAAGACAAAGCAAAACUUGAAAACGAUCCUCCUUACAUGGAAAUGCCGAACAAAAGUGCAGAGAAACUUUCUGAGACCAGCAAAAUGUUAAUAUCCAUGGCUAAAGAAAACAUCCCACCAAACAGUCAGACUGGUGUUCACGACUAUGGCUUAAGCUUGCCUCUUGGGGAAGAAUAUGAACAUAAAAAACACAAGCUAAAGGAGGAACUCCGACAAGACUACAGGCGUUAUCUUUCUCAGGGUAUUUCACAGGCAAAAAAGAAGAAGAAGUAUCUUGCAUCUGGUGAAGUUGACCCAUAUACUCAGGGAGUAUCACUUCCUAUUGGUGAGAGGAGGUCUGCUAAGGACAGGUUAAGACUUGAAAGAAACAAAGAAUACAAUCAGUAUCUCAGGGAAAAGGAAGAAUGGAAUGAAAAGCUAAGAAGAGUAGGGAAGAAGCACACAGAGCAUGACACGAACACACAGAAAAAAAGCGCUUCUGUUAUCAGAUCCCAGCCAGAAUUACAUAUCCGAGGUUUAUCUCCAAGAAGAGAUGAAUACUCCUUCAAGAAAGAUGCUUGUACUUCUACUGAGGGCUAUGAAUUGCUACCAAAUAAGAGACAAUCAUUAGAUCAGUAUCACAAGCCAGAUAAUGAAAGUGGACAUAGGAACAGAAUAUUACACAAAAAACUUGAUGAAGAAUUGAAAACUUCCAACAGAAAGCACCAAAGGCUGGGCAGCAAACCUGAUAUUUCUAUUGGAAGGCAUCGUCAGUUUAAUGAGGACAAUUCUGAUGAUGCAAUGGACCCUAGGUUUCGAUAUGAAAGUGACUAUGAUAAGAAGCCAUUGCGAGUCUUUCAUACUUUAAGAAGCCAAGGCAAUUCUUCAACUGAGCAGACUGCUCCUUUUGGUGUUCCAUAUGCAACAGGGCUCAUACUUGCGGGGCAAGACAGAGAACGUAUUCAGAGAAGAAAAGAACAGUAUAGGCAAGAUCUGUUGGAGCAAAUGGCUGAGCAGCAGAGAAAUAAGAGACGUGAAAAGGAACUCGAGUUCUCAGUUGCUGCAUCUGGAGCUCUAGACCCUGAGAAAAAGCUAAGUGAAGAAAAGCCCGACAGACUGAAAGAGCUGGGAUUAACACCACAGAUUUCUGAGGAGAGAAUUCCACCAGAAAGACCCAGACUAGCCUUUCAAACACCUACACCUGGACCUUAUUCCACAUCUGCACCUCCUAUCUCACCCGUGAAUGAAGAUUUUCACAGAGGGUUGUCCACUACGCUUGGAGAAAUGUUAGCUCCCAGAAUUGCACCCCUUCCUCCACCACCACCACCAAUUCUGACAGAUAAUUACCGGACUCCAUAUGAUGAUGCAUACUACUUCUAUGGAGCCAGGAAUCCUUUGGAUCCUAGUCUUGCAUACUAUGGUACAAGCGUAAUGGGAGUGCAGCCUGCCCCUGCUCCUCCACCUGUUCUUGAAACUGUUCAAAGACCACUUCCAGUGUCUGCAUGUAAAAUUGGAGCCCAAGUCACAAAUGAUAGACCAAGAGGUCUGGGAGCAUUUCCUGAAGAAAAACCAAAGCCUUCAAAAGAGGCUACUUUAACUUACCAACAAGAAUUGCAACAGCAGAUAAGGGAAAGGGAACAACGUCGCAGGCAAGAGAAGGAGGAAAGGGAACGGUAUGAUGCCAGAUUAGAAGCUGAAAUGAGAAAUUACAACCCUUGGGGAAAAGGAGGUGGUGGUGCUCCUCUCAGAGAUAAAAAAGGAAACCUCAUAACUGACUUGAAUAUGAUGCACAAGCAAAAUGAAGAUGCAUAUCAUAAUCCAGAGGCAAGAAUAUAUGAAGAUAAAAGAGCUAUAGUAUCUGUUGACCUAAGUUUGGCCUCCCCAAGACUUGAGAAUACAGAUGAAUCUACAAAUAAAAUAGCAGGUUUUACAUAUACACAAACAUCUCCAUUUGCUCGUGGUAAUGUUUUUGGUGAGCCCCUGACACCUGAACAGCUUAGGCGGCAAGAAUCAUACAAGAACUUCCUUCGUUUUCAGAUUGAAGAAAAACGAAAAAAAGAAGAAGCAGAGCGUGAAAAAAGAAGGCUUGAAGAUGAAAGGGAAGAAAAAAUACUAGCUGAGCAAAGGGCUAGAAUUCAGAGAGAAUAUGAAGAAGAACUGGAAAAGAGGAGAAGGAAAGAGGAGGAGCAAAGGUUGAAAAAUGAAGAGCUGUAUCGAUUAGCUGAAGAAAGGAAAACAGAGGCAGAGAAAAAGAAAAAAGACGAAGAAGAAAGGUGGGAUAAGCAGUUUCAGGAGCAAGGCAAAACAGAGAAGCAUAUAAUGAUUGAAGAAGACAAGAUUUCUAGACCACCUUCUCCUCUCAUCCCAACUCUUCAGAACAAGGGAUUAUUAAAAGAAGAAAGAUCGCUUUUGAUGGAAAGCCGUACAUCUUACUAUACACACGAUCUUCCACAACACAGAGUUCCAUCUCCUCCAGUCCCAGCUAGAAGAAACCAGAUACGUGCAUAUGAAGAAAGGAAGAAUGUAAUAAGUGAACUGUCAGAGAUGAGGAAACAGCUCCGCAGUGAAGAGCGACGACUACAGGAGCAAUUGUUAAAAGUGAAUAGUGAUGAUGACGACAUGCAAGCAAAAGGCAGGAGGAAGGAGAAAAUGGAUGUAUUUGAGAUGGCUAGACUUCGUAUGCAAGCUCCAGUCAGGCGACCGUCAUCAAAGGAGGUUGUUGAUCCCUUCAAUGUACAAAACAUCCGUGACUUCAAUGAACUUAAAUACAAAGAUUCAGAAACACGGGUAGAAAUGAGAUACAGGUAUCCUGAUCCUCCCACUAAUGACGACGCUCUGGACAUUCAGCAACAGGCAUUGCUAAGGGAGCAAAAAAAGAAACUAAACAAAAUGAAGAAAAAUGCAGAAGCUGUCGUAGAUUUUGAUGAGCCUGUAUCCACCUUUAAAUCGAAAGACAGGGGAAUGGUGAGGGAUGAUGAGUUAGAUGGAUUUGCAAAAAAUUCACUUUUGGAAUCUGACAGUGCUUUUAUUGGUACUGAUGGUGAGGCCUUUCCUACUUCAGAAGAACCUGCCUUCAGCAGGAAUUUAACUCCACCACCCAUAUCUGCAAGAGAAAGGAGGCAAGAGAAGAAAAAGGAUGAUACCCUUUUUAGGUCGAGUCCAUCGCCACAACCUGACAGCUACUCUGUGCACUCAGCAUCUAGUCUUAAUAUCGAUAAGUUGAAAGCCAGAAAUGAAGAGCGACUGCAAAGACUGAAUGAACUUCAGAAGAAGACAAUCCAUAUAGGUUAGCAUUUUGCAUCACCAAAAUCUGGACUCAUUUUUGACAUUUUCUUUGUAGAGAGGAAGUGAUGGUCAGGCUUUGACGGAAUAAUCAAUUUAUGCAGACAAACUUCUGAUAAAAUCUACCAUUCGUUAGAUUCUACUCUCUCUGCCUUGAGGAAAGAAAAAUAACUCCCACUGCCCAAUCCCUGGUUCUGGGUAUUUAACUAGAUAAGCAGCAGUUAGAAAUAUCAUAAAUAUGUCUCCUGCCAUUUUGUUCUGAAGAAUGAAGCUUCACAGCAAAUAAAACCUCAUUAGAAAAAGAGUUUAUGAAUGUAAUCUCUUAUAUCUAGAAUCGAUUUUUUUCUUCUAUGUAAUAUAACAACAUAAAUAAAUCUAUAGGCAGACAGUAAACAUCACCGCUUCACAGGGUUGCUGGAGACAUAUAUCUGGGUAUUUCGAAAAAGAACUGAAAUAGAAUGUUAACACCUGUACAGUUAAGUACAUGAUAUUUCUAGCUGUAGUAUGAAAACAAUGGAUUGCUACCUGCCCUCCGCCCCCUGGUAAAAUGUUUGUGUGUUCCACCUCCAAGUCAUUAUCUGUUAUAGAAGAUGGAUAUUUCUGGUGCGAUAUUCUCAGGACUGUAAGAACUGGGUGGGGUCAUUCUUCCCAGGCUUUUAAAGCUUUGCUUAAUUUACAUAGUCCUGCCUCUGGAGCACAUGGGAAGGAUAAACCCACACAAUAUGACCUCAUCGAGCAGCAGAAAAGUAAUACCUUUAUUGAGUAAAGUUCUGUUGUUGAUGGUGGAUUCCUCUUAUAAUAUUAAGCUCUCUCAAAGAAGGGUAAGGAUUCCUCUGUUUGCAUGGUUAAUAUUUUCUAAGGACUAAGCACUUUGAUGUGGAAGAAGAGCUUUAAAAGCCCAACUUGCUUUGGAGGAAUUUCCGGAUAACUUUCCUAGGCUCACUAAACUGUGUAUUCUAGUUUGGGAUAAAAGUGAACCUAAUCCUUGGAUUUAACUUCAUUAGAUGCAUAGCACUGUUUGGAAACUUUCAGUGGAAAUCCACCACCAGUUCAUAAGAUCAUAAGAACAGCCCUGCUGGAUCAGGCCCAAAGCCCAUCUAGUCCAGCAUCCUGUUUCACACAGUGGCCCACCAGAUGCCAGUGGAAGCCUACAGGCAGGAGUUGUGGGCAUGUCCUCUCUCCUGCUGUUACUUCGCUGCAACUGGGACUCAGAGGCAGAGGAUGGGAGUUGCAGAGGAUGGGAAUUGCAGAGGAUGGGAGUUGCAGGCCAACAACAGCUGGAGGGCCAAAGUUGUACUACCCUCUCCUACAUUCAUUGGCAGUGACUCUCUGAGGUUUUGAGCAGGAGUCUUUCCCCAGCCCUCACUGAAGAUGCCAGGGAUUGAACUGGGGACCUUCUGCAUGCAAAGCAGAUGCUUGAUCCCUGAGUUAUGGCCCCAUCCCCAGUUGGGUUGUUGCCCAGUCUGUGCCCCCCAUCUCUAGGGAUGUGCACUAACCUCAGUUUGUGCAGUGGUUCAAAAUUGAACCGGUCCGUGGUUUGGCAAACCAGUCCGUUCCAAUUUGGCCCAACCAUGAAUCAGUUUGGCAGUGAGAGCAACGCCAGGGGUUGGGGGUUUUCUUCCCCUGUACAUCCUCUACAGAAGCCCUGUUCAGAUAUUAUGCUGUACAUGCAUGCAGGUGUUUGUACACAUGUAUAUGAAGACUGUAUAUGCAUUCAUUUAAAAAGUGAAUCUGAGUAUAAAUGAUGUAUGAAUAAUUACGUGCAUACACUGUACAGUGUAUUGCUUUGAAUACAGCUCCAGUUUCCUCCAAACAUAAGAACAGCCCUGCUGGAUCAGGCCCAAGGCCCAUCAUCCUGUUUCGCACAGUGGCCCAUCAGAUGCCGCUGGAAGCCACAGGCAGGAGUUGAGGGCGUGCCCUCUCUCCUGCCAUUACUCCCCUGCAGCUGGUACUCAGAGGCAUCCUGCCUUUGAGGCUGGAGGUGGCCCACAGCCCUCCGACUGGUAGCCAUUGAUAGACCUCUCCUCCAUGAAGUCAUCCAAACCCCUUUUAAAGCCAUCCAGCUGUUGGCUGUCACCACAUCCUGUGGCAGAAAGUUCCACAGGUGGAUCAUGCGUUGUGUGAAAAAGUACUUCCGUUUGUUGGUCCUAGACCUCCUGGCAAUCAAUUUCAUGGAGUGAUCCCUGGUUCUAGUGUUGUGUGAGAGGGAAAAGAAUUUCUUUCUCUCCACUUUCUCCACAACAUGCAUGAUUUUAUAGACCUCUAUCAUGUCUCCCCGCAGUCAUCUUUUUUCUAAACUAAAAAGCCCCAGGUGUUGUAGCCUUGCCUCAUAAGAAAGGUGCUCCAGGCCCCUGAUCAUCUUGGUUGCCCUCUUUGCAACUUUUCUAGUUCUGCAAUGUCCUUUUUAAGAUGUGGUGACCAGAAUUGUACACAGUACUCCAAGUGUGGUCGCACCAUAGUUUUGUAUAAAGGCAUUAUAAUAUUAGCGGUUUUAUUUUCAGUCCCCUUCCUAAUGAUCCCUAGCAUGGAAUUGGCCUUUUUCACAGCUGCCGCACAUUGAGUCGACACUUUCAACGAGCUGUCCACCACGACUCCAAGAUCCCUCUUCUGGUCAGUCACCGACAGCUCAGAUCCCAUCAGCAUAUACUUGAAGUUGGGGUUUUUCGUCCCAAUGUGCAUCACCUUACACUUGCUAACAUUGAACCGUGUUUGCCACUUUGUCGCCCACUCCCCCAGUUUGGAGAGAUCCUUUUGGAGCUCCUCACAAUCUGUUUUGGAUUUCACUACCCGAAAGAGUUUGGUAUCAUCUGCAAAUCUGGCCACCUCGCUGCUUACCCCUACUUCUAGAUCAUUUAUGAAUAAAUUAAAAAGCACCGGUCCUGUUACAGAUCCAUGGGGGACCCUACUUCUUACUUCCCUCCAUUGUGAAAACUCUCCAUUUAUACCUACCCUCUGUUUCCUGUCUUUCAACCAGUUAGCAAUCCACACAUGUACUUGUCCCCUUAUCCCAUGACCGCUAAGUUUCCUCAGGAGUCGUUGAUGAGGAACUUUGUCAAAAGCUUUUUGGAGGUCCAGGUAUACUAUGUCAACUGGAUUACCUUGAUCCACACACUCGUUGACACUCUCAAAAAAGUCCAAAAGUUUGGUGAGGCAAGAUUUAACUUUGCGGAGGCCAUGCUGGUUCACUCCCAGCAGGGCCUGUUCUUCUAUGUGCUUUCCAAUUUUAUCCUUGAGGAUGCUUUCCAUCAAUUUGCCUGGAACGGAUGUUAGGCUAACCAGCCUGUAACUUCCCAGAUCGCCCCCUGGGUCCCUUUUUGAAAAUCGGUGUUACAUUUGCUACUCUCCAGUCUUCUGGUACAGAGCCCAAUUGCAGGGAUAAGUUAUAUAUUUUAGCAAAAAGGUCAGCAAUUUGACAUUUGAGUUCUUUGAAGACUUUUGGAUGGAUGCCAUCUGGCCCUGGUGACUUGUUAGCUUUCAGUUUUUCCAGACAGUUUAGAACAUCAUCUCUUGUAACUUCUAUCUGACUCAGCUCUCUAGCCUCCAUCCCUAAUAAGCCUGGUUCAGGAACAGGUAUAUACUCAGUAUCCUCUGUCGUGAAGACAGACACAAAGAACUCAUUCAGCUUCUCUGCAACUUCCAUAUCCUCCUUAAUAAUCCCUUUCACUCCCUCAUUGUCUAAUGGUCCAACCGCCUCCCUGGCAGGUUUCCUGCAUCUGAUGUUUUCAAAGAAGUUUUUGUUAUUCCCCUUGAUACUUUUGGCUAAAUGUUCCUCAAACUCUUUUUUUGCCUCCCUUAUUGUCACCUUGCAUUUCUUUUGCCAGAGUUUGUGUUCCUUUCUGUUCUCUUCAUUUGGACAGGGCUUCCAAUUUUGGAAGGAAGUCUUCUUCCCAUUUAUGGCUUCCUUGCUGGUACCCGUUAGCCAUGUUGGCAUCCUCCUGGACUUAGAUUGUAUACCCAAAAGGAGGAAAGGUACCACUAACUGGGCUUCUAGUAUUGUGGUUUUGAGUAAACUCCAUGCACUCUGGAACGAAGUGACUCUCCUGAUUUUCCCUUUCAGCUUUCUUUUCACCAUACUCAUUUUGGAGAAGUUUCCUCUUCUGAAAUUCAAAAUGUCCAUGUUAGACUUCCUUGGUGAUUCUCUCCCCACAUGUAUGCUGAAUUUGAUGGCACUAUGGUCACUGUUCCCUAGAGGGUCGAUGACACUGACAUCACGCACCAGGUCCUGGGUGCCACUCAGAAUUAGGUCCAAGGUCGCCUUCUAUUUGGUUGGUUCCAAGACCAAAUGUUCUAGGGCAAAGCCAUUUAGCGUAUCUAGAAAUUUGACCUCUUUGUCCUGACCUGACUGUGAAUUUACCCAGUCUAUGUGUGGGUAAUUGAAGUCACCCAUAAUUACAGCCCUGCCUCUCCUUGAUGCUUCCCUGAUUUCCUCCUGCAACUCCCAGUCACUGUCGGCGUUUUGAUCCGGAGGGCGAUAGCACGUCCCCAGUAGCACGUUCCCUUUCAGGCCUUGUAUUGUCACCCACAGGGUUUCUGUGGAGGACUCCAGUCCAUCUAGGUUUUCUAGCUUGUUAGAUUCUAUGCCUUCUUUAACAUACAGUGCUACUCCACCACCAAGGUGCUCCUCCCUGUCCUUUCUGUAUACCCAGGGAUAACAGUGUCCCACUGGUUCUCACUGUUCCACCAUGUUUCUGUUAUGCCCACUAUAUCUAUUUCUGCAUUAGCAACCAAGCACUCCAGCUCACCCAUCUUGGCUCAGAGGCUUCUGGCAUUGGCAUAUAUGCACCUAUACUCAGAGUCUCUCACCUGAUGUAUGCUAUUCUUUUGACUUUUUGACUUGCUGGCACUGGCUCCCGUCUGCUCUUUAUGCGGCUCUGCUCUGUCCCCUUCUGUUUUAUCUGAAUUCUUUGCACCCUCACACUUUAAAGGAUGGCUUUUGCCACAUGGGAUACUGCCCAGCUGCCAUUGGCUGUUCCCCAGGCAUCAUUUUAAAAGCUGCUCUGCAACCUUUUUGAUUUUAAGCGCCAGCAGUCUGGUUCCAUCUUGGUUCAAGUGCAGCCUGUUCCUUUUGUACAGGCCUUGCUUUCCCCCAAAUGUAUCCCAGUGCUUAACAAAUCUAAACCCCUCCUUCUGGCACCAAUGUCUCAUCCACGCAUUGAAACCCCUCAGUCUCACCCCUGUCUCACUGUACUUGCGCGUGGAACAGGUAGCAUUUCUGAGAAUGCUAGCUUGGGGUCCUGGACUUCAAUACACUACCUAUCAGCCUAAAUUUGGCUUCCAGGACCUCCCGACUACAUUUCCUCACAUUGUUGGUGCCAACAUGCACCACAACAGCUGUCUCCUUUCCAGCACUGCCUGAGAGCCUGUCUAGAGGCUGCGUGAUGUCCGCAACCUUUGCACCAGGCAGGCAAGUCAUCAGGCGGUCAACACGUGGGUCACAAACCCAUCUCUCUAUACCUCAAAUGAUUGAAUCACCCACUACAAGGAGGCCCCCACCCCCCAGAGGAGUGUCCCCUGUGUGAGAGGAUAUGGGCUCAUCAUCCACGGAAGGGGUCCCUUCUAAAGGAGCAUUUCCCUCUUCCUCAGACCGAUGUCGUCCUUGCCCAAGACCUUCAUUCUCCCUGACAGCAGAGGAGCUUCCAGCCCUGGAGUGGGAUGCCUCUGUCACAUCCCUGAAGGUCUCGUCCACAUUCCUCUGUCUCUGAGCUUUUCCAGAUCUGCCACCUUGGUCUCAAGGGAAUGAAUUUGUUCCUCGAGUGCCAGGAGCUCCUUGCACCGAGCAAACAACCAUGACUUCUGCCCAUGGGGCAAAUAGUCAUACAUGUGGCACUCUGUGCAAUACACUGGGAAGUGCCCCUUCCCCUCUCCUAUAAAAGUAGUAUGGGCAUGAGGAAGACUAGCAUAUGGGACACAGUGGCUAGCUCACCAUCUCAUGGUUUUUGAAAAGAUUAUGGGAACAUGCAGACCGCCAUUUCCACUUUCUAACAGAAAGCAUGCAUUUUAUGUUAACUAAAAUCUUUCGAACGUAUUUCAUCUCAUUGUAUUUGGGCUUGGCACAUCAAUUCUUGAAGAAGAAUAGUAAAAGUUUGAAAACUUAGGUAAUUUUGAGUCUGGGAAACAUGUUGUCAUACCACUAGUGUGCCGUUGAAUAAUAGCAGAAGCUGAACUUAGUUUCUCUUCCCCAAGGUGGUGAUAUUUCUCCGGGAAAUGCUGAUGACAUCCUGAAGCAGUUGCCUUCCAAAGAUGGCCGAAGGUCUGACUCUGUUGACACUGUGGCAACUGAGCUGUGGCUGAGACCCGGGACAUCAGAAACUCUUAAAAGAUUUAUGGUGGAAGAGUCAAGUCAGGCUAAACUUUCUUCUGAGAAGAACUUACCGUUCAGUUGGCAGGGUCUGUCAACUGCACAUGGCUAAAUAAA
This is an RNA transcript of Hemicordylus capensis (graceful crag lizard), 9869 nucleotides long. It is a transcript of the gene named centrosome and spindle pole associated protein 1, with no coding region annotated. The record is from RefSeq and is a predicted model, not a curated record. Lineage: Eukaryota; Metazoa; Chordata; Lepidosauria; Squamata; Cordylidae. The transcript is spliced from 32 exons.